Molecule: ribosomal RNA, 878 nt
Filed under: uncultured euryarchaeote
Lineage: Archaea; Methanobacteriati; Methanobacteriota
Description: bacterial SSU rRNA
Rfam family: Archaeal small subunit ribosomal RNA
Source: RNAcentral
GGUCACUGCUAUUGGGAUUCGACUAAGCCAUGCGAGUCGAGAGGGUUCGGCCCUCGGCUGACGGCUCAGUAACACGUGGAUAAUCUGCCCUUAGGUGGAGGAUACCCUCGGGAAACUGAGAAUAAUACUCCAUAGGUCUAGGAUGCUGGAAUGCAUCUAGACURAAAACUCCGUGUGCCUAAGGAUGAGUYUGCGGACUAUCAGGUUGUAGUCAGGGUAAAGACCUGACUAGCCUACGACGGAUAUGGGUUGUGARAGCAAUAACCCAGAGAUGAUAUCUGAGACACGGAUAUCAGGCCCNUACGGGGCGCAGCAGGCGCGAAAACUUCACACUGUGCGAAAGCACGAUGAGGGAAUCCCAAGUGCCAGCUCGUAAGAGUUGGCUGUUUUUCUGCUAAAACACAGAGAGAGUAAGAGCUGGGUAAGACGGGUGCCAGCCGCCGCGGUAAUACCUGCAGCUCGAGUGGUGGCCGCUAUUAUUGGGCCUAAAACGUCCGUAGCCGGUUUAGUAAAUGCCUGGGUAAAUCGUGUAGCUUAACUAUACGAAUUCCGGGUAGACUGCUGAACUUGAGACCGGGAGAGGCUAGAGGUACUCCUGGGGUAGAGGUGAAAUUCUGUAAUCCUGGGGGGACCACCAGUGGCGAAGGCGUCUAGCUAGAACGGGUCUGACGGUGAGGGACGAAGCCCUGGGGCGCAAACCGGAUUAGAUACCCGGGUAGUCCAGGGUGUAAACGCUGCUUGCUUGAUGUUAGUUGGGCUCCGAGCCCAAUUAGUGUCGGAGAGAAGUUGUUAAGCAAGCUGCCUGGGAAGUACGGCCGCAAGACUGAAACUUAAAGGAAUUGGCGGGGGAGCACAGCAACGGGUGGAGCGUGCGGUUU